RNAcentral lists this ribosomal RNA (1313 nucleotides) under metagenome. RNAcentral's name for it is "bacterial LSU rRNA". It matches the Rfam family "Bacterial large subunit ribosomal RNA", at positions 1599 to 2925 of the family's 2925-position model. The record is from RNAcentral.
GUCAAGCUUCCAAGAAAAGCCCUAUACCCGUUAAGGCAUGAUGGCCUGUACCCGAAACCGACACAGGUGGGGUGGUAGAGAAUACCGAGGGGCGCGAGGUAACUCUCUCUAAGGAACUCGGCAAAAUGGCCCCGUAACUUCGGGAGAAGGGGUGCCACCGCGAGGUGGUCGCAGUGAAGAGGCCCAGGCGACUGUUUACCAAAAACACAGGUCUCCGCUAAGUCGCAAGACGAUGUAUGGGGGCUGACGCCUGCCCAGUGCCGGAAGGUUAAGGAAGCUGGUCAGCGCAAGCGAAGCUGGCGACUGAAGCCCCGGUGAACGGCGGCCGUAACAAUAACGGUCCUAAGGUAGCGAAAUUCCUUGUCGGGUAAGUUCCGACCCGCACGAAAGGCGUAACGAUCUGGGCGCUGUCUCGGAGAGAGGCUCGGCGAAAUAGAAUUGUCUGUGAAGAUGCGGACUACGUGCACCCGGACAGAAAGACCCUAUGAAGCUUUACUGUAGCUUGGUAUUGUGCUCGGGCUCGGAAUGCGCAGGAUAGGUGGGAGGCUUUGAUCCAUUGCUUGCGAGUGAUGGUGAGCCACUGGUGAGAUACCACUCUUUCCGAGCUAGAGUUCUAACAGCAACCCGUUAUCCGGGUGCUGGACAGUAUCAGGUGGGCAGUUUGACUGGGGCGGUCGCCUCCUAAAAGGUAACGGAGGCGCGCAAAGGUCUGCUCAGGCUGGUUGGAAAUCAGCCGACGAGUGUAAAAGCAGAAGCAGGCUUGACUGUGAGACCUACAAGUCGAACAGGGAGGAAACUCGGCUUUAGUGAUCCGACGGUUCUGCGUGGAAGGGCCGUCGCUCAACGGAUAAAAGUUACUCUAAGGAUAACAGGCUGAUCUCCCCCAAGAGUUCACAUCGACGGGGAGGUUUGGCACCUCGAUGUCGGCUCAUCGCAACCUGGGGCUGAAGUCGGUCCCAAGGGUUGGGCUGUUCGCCCAUUAAAGCGGUACGCGAGCUGGGUUCAGAACGUCGUGAGACAGUUCGGUCCAUAUCCGGUGCACGCGCAGGAAUAUUGAGAGGAUUUCUCCCUAGUACGAGAGGACCGGGAGGAACGCACCUCUGGUGUGCCAGUUAUCGUGCCAACGGUAAACGCUGGGUAGCCAUGUGCGGAGUGGAUAACCGCUGAAAGCAUCUAAGUGGGAAGCCCACCUCAAGAUGAGUAUUCCCAUGGCAUAAGCCAGUAAGGUCACGGGAAGAACACCCGUUGAUAGGCUCUACGUGGAAGCGCAGUAAUGUGUGAAGCGGAGGAGUACUAAUAGACCGAGGGCUUGA